GCUGGAUCAAGUGCUAUUCUAUUCCCUGUGCUGCUGAAUAAUGAGUGGAAGCCAUUUUGUUCGAUUAAACCACUGAUUAAUGUGACCAUUACAGCGAUCUUUAUACAUGCAGUGAUAUAUUAGUGAUAUACAACACUCCUGUUAGAUCUAUUUCAGCACAUAGCACAUUCAACACCAUAACACAUAGCUGCGUAAUACCAGGACUCUGAAUAUCAGGGACUUUCCACUCGCAAAUACUGACCGAACAUUUGGACUUAAGUCUCUGACCCGGAAUACGGUCCUGUAUAAACACUUUACACACACACACACACACACACACACACACACACACACACACACACACAGCAGACAGGUUGUGCACCGUUUUGGGUGUUUAUGGGUUUGUGGUGUCCGAAUUCUCACUAGACAGUUCACUAUAUUAUUACCCACAAUGCACUACAGCCUCAGCUCUUUUCUAUGGGUCAUGUGCAAAGAUCACGCCAAACCACAUUCACCUGUACCCAUCAUGCAUCACUCUGCCUUUUACCGAGAUCUGUGUUUGUAGAUGACAUGGCCGUUUGUCUUUUCUUUGGCAGCCAAAUGGGGGAUGAUUUACUAACACACACACACACACACACACACACACACACACACACACACACAGAGCGUAAAGUCGAGAAAAAGAGGCAAAUUAAAUGUACACUGAAAUAUGGAAAGGAAGCAUAGACUAGAAAAGACAAAGGACAGUAAAAAGCGAAAAUGUGUAUGUGUGUGUGUGUGUGUGUGUGUGUGUGUGUGUCUUCUCACAGUGCAGUUCCUCCUCGUUCCUCCUGGCAGAACUUCCUGAACUCUCGCUCACACACACUUUCACAGUUCAGUCCACACGUUUCUCUGGGAUUCAGCUCAGGGCUUUGUGAAGGCCACUCCACUCCACUCUCUACUCCAUACUUCCAUGUUGUUGUCCUGCUGGAAGACCCGGUUACGACCAUGUUUCUACAGCUCCAGUCUUUCCAGAUACUCCUCCUUCCUCAUGAUGCCGUCUCAUCUCUGUAGGGCUCCAGUCCCUUUGCCAGUAAAACUCCCCUGAUGCUGCCACCACCGCGCUGCACAGUUGAGAUGCUGUUCUUUGGAUGAACGGCUGUAAAAG
Long non-coding RNA from Ictalurus punctatus (channel catfish), 1126 nucleotides. The record is from Ensembl. Lineage: Eukaryota; Metazoa; Chordata; Actinopteri; Siluriformes; Ictaluridae.